CGCGUAGGCGGAGUGGAAAGUGUCUUGUGAAAUCCCACGGCUUAACCGUGGAAUUGCUCGGCAAACUUCCACUCUUGAGGCAAGUAGGGGUACAUGGAACUCUUGGUGGAGCGGUGGAAUGCGUAGAUAUCAAGAGGAACGCCAAUGGUGAAGACAGUGUACUGGGCUUGUCCUGACGCUGAGACACGAAAGCGUGGGGAGCGAACAGGAUUAGAUACCCUGGUAGUCC
This 229-nucleotide ribosomal RNA is filed under the name uncultured bacterium. Its description in RNAcentral is "partial 16S ribosomal RNA". It matches the Rfam family "Bacterial small subunit ribosomal RNA", at positions 568 to 796 of the family's 1533-position model. The record is from RNAcentral.